This 492-nucleotide ribosomal RNA is filed under the name uncultured bacterium. RNAcentral's name for it is "partial 16S ribosomal RNA". It matches the Rfam family "Bacterial small subunit ribosomal RNA", at positions 29 to 507 of the family's 1533-position model. The record is from RNAcentral.
AGUGAACGCUGGCGGUAGGCCUAACACAUGCAAGUCGAACGGCAGCACAGUAAGAGCUUGCUCUUACGGGUGGCGAGUGGCGGACGGGUGAGGAAUACAUCGGAAUCUACUUUUUCGUGGGGGAUAACGUAGGGAAACUUACGCUAAUACCGCAUACGACCUACGGGUGAAAGCAGGGGAUCUUCGGACCUUGCGCGAUUGAAUGAGCCGAUGUCGGAUUAGCUAGUUGGCGGGGUAAAGGCCCACCAAGGCGACGAUCCGUAGCUGGUCUGAGAGGAUGAUAAGCAACACUGGAACUGAGACACGGUCCAGACUCCUACGGGAGGAAGCAGUGGGGAAUAUUGGACAAUGGGCGCAAGCCUGAUCCAGCCAUACCGCGUGGGUGAAGAAGGCCUUCGGGUUGUAAAGCCCUUUUGUUGGGAAAGAAAAGCAGCAGGUUAAUACCCCGCUGUUCUGACGGUACCAAAAGAAUAAGCACCGGCUAACUUCGUG